Molecule: long non-coding RNA, 789 nt
Filed under: Vigna radiata
Lineage: Eukaryota; Viridiplantae; Streptophyta; Magnoliopsida; Fabales; Fabaceae
Description: long non-coding RNA (VRAD_LNC007997)
Source: RNAcentral
UGUUUCCGCAUCAGUUGACAUCGUGUCAUACACAUGAGCUUUGGCAAAAUUUUCUGCGCCAACAUCGCGGAUCAUGUCCUCCAAUUUGUCUUCAUUCGGUCGAUCUUCUUCCAUGGUGGAGUCAGUAACAUUUUCAGUUUGCGAGUCAGUCGGAAAGUACAUUUCUUCGCCGUGCCAUAUCCAUGUUGUGCAACAUCUUAGGAAACCAUCAUAGAUAAGAUGUUCUCUAAUUUGGGUUGCGUUCAACUUUCUCCCAUUCAAGCAGUUCACACAAGGACAUCUAAACUUCACUUCAUCAUCACUUCUCCUCUCAUUACGUUGCGCAAAUUGUAUAAAUUCCUCUACACCUCUCUCGUACUCAGCACUAAUACGUGGUAAAUUAAUCCAAUUUCGAUCCCUUCCUAAAUUUUACAUAAAAAGAUAAUCUACUGAAAAUCAAACUUGCAAUUUCAUACAUACCAACAUUAUAAUUUCACCUAGUGAUUACUCAAAUAUUUUAUGGUCUAGGAAUUAUCAUAAUUCUAUAAUUUAUAUGUUUUCAUAUUUUAAUAAUUCUAAUAAUUAUAAAAAUUCUAAUAAUAAUUAUAAUAUUUCUAAAUUACCAAAACAAUAUAUUUUCUAUGUCUACAUUAUCAAACAACAGUAAUUGUUAUCAUGCAAAAAAAAAAACGAAAAAAUCAUGUUGAAAAAAAUAAAAAACGAUGAAGGGCAUCAAAUACCUGGAAUGGGCACGGCGAGAAGGACGGCGUGACAAUGGCACGACGUAAGACGAACGGCAACAGAAGUUCA